ACUGAGGGAUUGGACCCAGGUCUCUUACAUUGCAGAUAGAUUUUUUUUUUUUUAAACCAUCUGAGCCUCCAGGGAAUCCCCUUCAGCUGCAAGAAUUUCCCCCCACCCCUUCCUCCUCUCCACCUUCUUCAUGGCACCAGUUUCCACACACUUCAAAGCAUGAAGUCAGGAAACCAUGGAAAAUCACAGGAGACCAGGUGAUCAUAGCAAAGUCUGCUUGAUGGCUGAAAGCACUGGCGUGAGCUUCUCUGACUUCAAAGCUGAAGACACGGCACAAACUGGCUGGUCAUAUUCUUCGUUUUACAAACCAUGGUGGUUGGUAUAGAGGACUAGAGCUGCGAGGACUUUGUAUUUCCCCAACCGGAUGACUUCUUCCCAGUCACAUCAGCAGCUAAAUUUACCGAAGGACGAGAUGGUUGGAUGGCAUCACCGACUCAAUGGCUGGCUCUGGAAGAUGGCGAAGUACUGGGAAGCCUGGCGUGCUGUGUCCAUGGGGUCGCAAGGAGUCGGACAAGACUGAGCGACUGAACAACAAUUUACACGGUUAACCCCUAACGCUGAACCGGCCCUUAAAGACCUUGUCUCUGACUUGUUAGUUACUACGACCUGUGGAGGAUGGGGAAGGAUCCCUGUUUUUCAAAGAAAACCAAGAGUCCUUCAUGACACCUCACUCUGACCUUCUCACCUGGCCCCCAGCUGCGUCCCCUGCCCAUCCCCCACCCUAGACCCCCCCCCCCCAACCCGCCCAGAACCCCCACCCCAAGCCUCCACUCCUGGAAUACUCAUCACCUCGGCAGAGGACCCGCAGGGAUAGCCCCAGGUUUUAGGUUGUGAACCCCAAAAGUGGGAGAAUUAAAAACCUCUGCUCCCAGGGUUUGUCUCUUCUGAACAGUUUCCCUGAUUGUUAAACGAAGGACCUGGGGGUCGAGGACUGGUCUGUUUAAACAGACGCCCUUUUAUCUGCUUCACACCCCCUCCCGCAGGGCCGCCUUCGCAAGUUAUCCGAGUGUCAUUAAGGGGGACAGCUGCUGGUAAACAAGGCGGGGAUGUCGACGCCAGGGCCUCGGUCAACAGAAAUUUCACUUUAAUCUGUCCCUUGCCUCAAGAAACAUCCCUCUCUUUCUCCCUCCGCCGCGCAUCAUUUAUUUAUCUCCGUCAACGAGCAGAUAGAAGGCUGGCAUCGACUCCGGAAAGCCCGCUGGGAUAGAAAAUUAACAAGGUGCGAGGGACAUUCACCUUAGGUCAAUUCGAGGGGACGCGGAGAGCAAAGAGAAUUUGCCCGGGAGUUCCCCACUUAACUGGAACCCGAUCCUACAUAUUUAUAAAGGUGAAACUGGAGGGCUGCCAAGCGCCUGCAUUUAAGUGAUUAACAAAUGUUUCCCUUUAAGUGG
Molecule: long non-coding RNA, 1391 nt
Filed under: Bos indicus x Bos taurus (hybrid cattle)
Lineage: Eukaryota; Metazoa; Chordata; Mammalia; Artiodactyla; Bovidae
Description: lncRNA (ENSBIXG00005003920.1)
Source: RNAcentral